GACGAACGCUGGCGGCGUGCCUAAUACAUGCAAGUAGAACGCUGAAGGAGGAGCUUGCUCUUCUGGAUGAGUUGCGAACGGGUGAGUAACGCGUAGGUAACCUGCCUGGUAGCGGGGGAUAACUAUUGGAAACGAUAGCUAAUACCGCAUAACAGUAGAUGUUGCAUGACAUUUACUUAAAAGGUGCAAUUGCAUCACUACCAGAUGGACCUGCGUUGUAUUAGCUAGUUGGUGGGGUAACGGCUCACCAAGGCGACGAUACAUAGCCGACCUGAGAGGGUGAUCGGCCACACUGGGACUGAGACACGGCCCAGACUCCUACGGGAGGCAGCAGUAGGGAAUCUUCGGCAAUGGACGGAAGUCUGACCGAGCAACACCGCGUGAGUGAAGAAGGUUUUCGGAUCGUAAAGCUCUGUUGUAAGAGAAGAACGAGUGUGAGAGUGGAAAGUUCACACUGUGACGGUAUCUUACCAGAAAGGGACGGCUAACUACGUG
Molecule: ribosomal RNA, 495 nt
Filed under: uncultured bacterium
Lineage: Bacteria
Description: partial 16S ribosomal RNA
Rfam family: Bacterial small subunit ribosomal RNA
Source: RNAcentral